This 446-nucleotide ribosomal RNA is filed under the name uncultured bacterium. RNAcentral's name for it is "partial 16S ribosomal RNA". It matches the Rfam family "Bacterial small subunit ribosomal RNA", at positions 338 to 795 of the family's 1533-position model. The record is from RNAcentral.
CCUACGGGUGGCAGCAGUCGAGAAUCAUUCACAAUGGGGGAAACCCUGAUGGUGCGACGCCGCGUGGGGGAAUGAAGGUCUUCGGAUUGUAAACCCCUGUCAUGUGGGAGCAAAUUAAAAAGAUAGUACCACAAGAGGAAGAGACGGCUAACUCUGUGCCAGCAGCCGCGGUAAUACAGAGGUCUCAAGCGUUGUUCGGAAUCACUGGGCGUAAAGCGUGCGUAGGCUGUUUCGUAAGUCGUGUGUGAAAGGCGCGGGCUCAACCCGCGGACGGCACAUGAUACUGCGAGCCUAGAGGAAUGGAGGGGGAACCGGAAUUCUCGGUGUAGCAGUGAAAUGCGUAGAUAUCGAGAGGAACACUCGUGGCGAAGGCGGGUUCCUGGACAUUAACUGACGCUGAGGCACGAAGGCCAGGGGAGCGAAAGGGAUUAGAUACCCUUGUAGUC